GCUGCAACUCGCCUGCAUGAAGUCGGAAUUGCUAGUAAUCGUAGGUCAGCAUACUACGGUGAAUACGUCCCCGGGCCUUGUACACACCGCCCGUCAAACCAUGAGAGUUGGCAACACCCGAAGUCGGUAGUCUAACCGCAAGGAGGACGCCGCCGAAGGUGGGGUUGAUGAUUAGGGUUAAGUCGUAACAAGGUAUC
RNAcentral lists this ribosomal RNA (197 nucleotides) under uncultured bacterium. RNAcentral describes it as "partial 16S ribosomal RNA". It matches the Rfam family "Bacterial small subunit ribosomal RNA", at positions 1304 to 1500 of the family's 1533-position model. The record is from RNAcentral.